UCACCACCCAACUCAUACCCGCCUCAUCGGCUGUUCACACGUGCACUUCCUGAACUACCACAUUCUACAGUGAUAAUAAUGACUGAGUUCUGUCUUAUUCGGUAAAGCUCUUGGGUACAGUGGUGAUCAUGUUACACACAUAUCAAGUGGUGUGGGAAAAAAGCAUCCAGAAGGCAAUUUCAAGCAUGCAAAAUGGGAUCACUGACAUGGAAAAUCAGUGACAUCUGAUUCCCAUUGUGCCAGCCUUCUGUAAAUAUUUGGCUACCUUGUUGCCCCAGGGCACCUGUCUUGGGGAUAACCAAGAAUGUGGAUGGUGAUGGCCAUGGUGCAAGACUCAGCUUCAGUGGGGGCUGCUCCCAGGAUGUCGGGCUCACGGACCCCUCUCAUUGAUGCCAGUCUCAGGUGGCUCUAUCCCUGGAAGAACAUUCAGGUCAUUUUUGCAUCAUUUGAUCCUUGAAACUAUACUAAGAAGGGGUCAGAGUGAUAUCACCGUUUUCUCAAAUGUGAGAAUGAACACUGGCAAGAUAAAGUGACUUAUUCAAACGUACCCAGAGAGCUGAUGAGAAAGUCAAGCCUAGGAAGCAUACACACUAAAUAAUGUCACUGGAGACAAGACGUAGCCCCAUUUUCCAUCUUGUAGUCCCAGUCUCAACCUCUGGUUUAUUCUCCUGAGAAUCAAUAAUGAUACAGAAGCAGAGCUGGGGAGUGGAACUGAAAUUUCUCAAUUUGGGACACAAUCUUGCUCUCAGUUAUUGAUACAGAAGUUGACACAUAAAAAGUGAAGGGUAAUUCAAACCAACAUUAUCAUAUCUGCUAAAACUUCUAAGUGUCCAAUU
RNAcentral lists this long non-coding RNA (836 nucleotides) under Homo sapiens (human). Its description in RNAcentral is "HSALNT0316684". The record is from RNAcentral. Lineage: Eukaryota; Metazoa; Chordata; Mammalia; Primates; Hominidae.